Daucus carota subsp. sativus is the source of this 217-nucleotide non-coding RNA. NCBI's taxonomy places the organism in Eukaryota, Viridiplantae, Streptophyta, Magnoliopsida, Apiales, Apiaceae. The record is from Rfam.
AUGACCAUACUAGAACAGGAUCAUUUCUAGAGGUCAUACAUCUGUAUCCUUGAUUUCCAAGGAGGCAGGCGACCAGGUCUGGUGGAUGAAACCUGACUGCAAGGUCAGAGCGUGAUUGGCAGUUCUCGAUAGUCCAGUGCGACUGUCCUGAACUGUAGAGGAUCGUUCCUGGCCAGUUAGUCCUGGCAUGGUUGGCCUUGCAGUUGUCUCACAGACC